This 72-nucleotide transfer RNA is filed under the name Candidatus Collierbacteria bacterium. RNAcentral's name for it is "tRNA-Cys". It matches the Rfam family "tRNA". From Rfam's summary of the family: Transfer RNA (tRNA) molecules are approximately 80 nucleotides in length. Lineage: Bacteria; Candidatus Collieribacteriota. The record is from RNAcentral.
GGCCGGAUGGCGAAGUGGUAACGCGGUGGUCUGCAAAACCUCUAUGCGCGGGUUCAAUUCCCGCUCCGGCCU